Molecule: ribosomal RNA, 301 nt
Filed under: uncultured bacterium
Lineage: Bacteria
Description: partial 16S ribosomal RNA
Rfam family: Bacterial small subunit ribosomal RNA
Source: RNAcentral
CAGUCGCCGCGGGAAUACGAAGGGGGCUAGCGUUGUUCGGAAUCACUGGGCGUAAAGCGCACGUAGGCGGAUACUUAAGUCAGGGGUGAAAUCCCGGGGCUCAACCUCGGAACUGCCUUUGAUACUGGGUAUCUUGAGUCCGGGAGAGGUUGGUGGAACUCCGAGUGUAGAGGUGAAAUUCGUAGAUAUUCGGAAGAACACCAGUGGCGAAGGCGGCCAACUGGCCCGGUACUGAUGCUGAGGUGCGAAAGCGUGGGGAGCAAACAGGAUUAGAUACCCGUGUAGUCCCUGUCUCUUAUAC